This is a long non-coding RNA of Poecilia latipinna (sailfin molly), 640 nucleotides long. RefSeq lists it as uncharacterized. The record is from RefSeq and is a predicted model, not a curated record. Lineage: Eukaryota; Metazoa; Chordata; Actinopteri; Cyprinodontiformes; Poeciliidae. The transcript has 2 exons.
CUGCUCUGUCUGUAUCGCCCUUAUUAUUAUUAUUAUUGUUGUUAUUGUUAUUACUGUUAUUAUCAUUAUUAUCAUUAUUGUCCUCGCGGUAGAGAGAGCUCCGCUGAGGGCGCGCGCGCUCUUGUUGUGAAGAAGCCUGUUUCCAUGGCAACCGGGAGGCUGAUUCGCCUCGUUUCUGUUCAGGCUGCAGGGACGAUCCCCGCAGCAGCAGCAGCUUCUUCAACAAAAACAGGCAGACAUUAGACUGCGGGAGGAGAUACUCGGUACCUGCGCCGUGUUUAUGUAGUGUUUGGGUUUACCUCGCCUCUCAGCAUGAGACUGAAUGUUUAAGGAGACGAGAAAGAAGGAAAGAAGGAAAGAUGGCGCCCGUGUUUGGUGUGAUUAAUGAACAGCGGAUCUGCAGAAGCUGCUCGGAGUGAAUGAAGCGGAUCCCGCGGGAGCGCGCACAAGCAGCCGAUCGCCGCGGCGCGCAUCGCACAGCUGUCAGCACCAAGGACAGCACCGGCACCGGCUCCGCUCCAGACGCGAUUCGGGAGUCCAAACGGGCUGGGACGCGGUUCGACGGAAGAUAGUGCGAUGAUUUAGGUAGCCUCUUUGUUUUAAAAAAAAUUCAUUUUAUUUUAUCUUUUUUAGAGAAACG